This 325-nucleotide ribosomal RNA is filed under the name uncultured eukaryote. RNAcentral describes it as "partial 18S ribosomal RNA". It matches the Rfam family "Eukaryotic small subunit ribosomal RNA", at positions 1470 to 1796 of the family's 1831-position model. The record is from RNAcentral.
CCCUUAGAUGUUCUGGGCCGCACACGCGCUACACUGAAGGAGGCAGCGUGUACUCCUGGAUCGAAAGAUUUGGGUAACCCGCGAAUCUCCUUCGUGCUAGGGAUUGAGGUUUGCAAUUAUCCUUCAUGAACGAGGAAUUCCCAGUAAGUGCAAGUCAUAAGCUUGCGCUGACUACGUCCCUGCCCUUUGUACACACCGCCCGUCGCUACUACCGAUUGAAUGGUCCGGUGAAGCGUUCGGACCGUGGCCUUUGGACGGUUCGCCGUCUGUUGGCUGCGGGAAGUUCGUUAAACCUUAUCAUUUAGAGGAAGGAGAANUCGUANCA